AAUGGAGUGCCUGAAAAAAAAAGGAUUACUUUGAUAGAGUAAAUCAUGUAAAUUUUUACCUUCAUUA
This 67-nucleotide transfer RNA is filed under the name Craspedophorus nobilis. RNAcentral describes it as "tRNA-Ile". The record is from RNAcentral. Lineage: Eukaryota; Metazoa; Arthropoda; Insecta; Coleoptera; Carabidae.